Molecule: transfer RNA, 76 nt
Filed under: Ruminococcus flavefaciens
Lineage: Bacteria; Bacillati; Bacillota; Clostridia; Eubacteriales; Oscillospiraceae
Also listed under: 8 other names
Description: tRNA_Ala_GGC
Rfam family: tRNA
About the family: Transfer RNA (tRNA) molecules are approximately 80 nucleotides in length. Their secondary structure includes four short double-helical elements and three loops (D, anti-codon, and T loops). Further hydrogen bonds mediate the characteristic L-shaped molecular structure. tRNAs have two regions of fundamental functional importance: the anti-codon, which is responsible for specific mRNA codon recognition, and the 3' end, to which the tRNAs corresponding amino acid is attached (by aminoacyl-tRNA synthetases). tRNAs cope with the degeneracy of the genetic code in two manners: having more than one tRNA (with a specific anti-codon) for a particular amino acid; and 'wobble' base-pairing, i.e. permitting non-standard base-pairing at the 3rd anti-codon position.
Source: RNAcentral
GGGGCAUUAGCGCAGCUGGGAGCGCAUCACACUGGCAGUGUGGGGGUCAGGGGUUCGAAUCCCCUAUGCUCCACCA